GUGCAGUGAUGAUAUCCAGAGAAUGGUUUCGCAAAUUUCUGAAAUUUAGUGACGAGUAAAUCUCUUGGCUGUCUGAGUGC
This is a non-coding RNA of Pelobates cultripes (western spadefoot toad), 80 nucleotides long. The record is from the annotation of a GenBank genome assembly. NCBI's taxonomy places the organism in Eukaryota, Metazoa, Chordata, Amphibia, Anura, Pelobatidae.